Long non-coding RNA from Triticum dicoccoides, 1159 nucleotides. RefSeq lists it as uncharacterized. Lineage: Eukaryota; Viridiplantae; Streptophyta; Magnoliopsida; Poales; Poaceae. The record is from RefSeq and is a predicted model, not a curated record. The transcript has 4 exons.
AAACGGGGGCGGCACCCCCGAUCCGCCUAGUAUGUGGGCGGCACCCCCACCCCCUCCCGGCGGCGCAGGUUCUACACCGGCAGUCACUGCGCGCAAAUAAUGGAGGAUGGUGGCAUGGAGUUCCUCUUGGAUGCGGUUGAUAGAUCCCCCCUGCGAGAGGAGUUUGCCGACAGCCAUGAACAGCCAGAUCCGGUGCCUCUGGUCCUGCUGGCAAGCAUCGGUUCGGGAGCAGUCGUGCUGGCGGACACAAAGGCUGGCUCCGGAUGUGGUCCGCAAAACGCCGGUGAAGGCAAUGACACGGCAAGGGCUGGGAUCCGAUGAAGGCCGGACUCGUCGCCGACGAGGUCCGCGCAGUCCACCGACAGGAUGAAUCCACAGGCCCCUGGGUGGACCUGGUGGACUCGGUCUAAUUGCGAGCAGACCAUCUCGGUUCCAUCUGUGUCACGUUUUCACCUCCUUCCCUCCCGCUCCCUCUCCACUGGCGACCACAACGGCGAUUUGGGCGACCACCGCGGUGAGGGCGAGGAGCACUGGCAUGCCCUGAAGGAUCUCACCGGCAGGCGUCCAUCAGGUUAUGGCUGGGUAGUGCACCACCAGAUCGGAUGCCAUGCCCUUCCAGAAUGAGUGCUAUGGAGAAGUCGAUCCGCAAAUACGCGGAGGAGCCAACAAAGAGUGUAAUAAGGCCUGAGCUUGGACUGAAUUGAAACGGCGGCGUACAAUGUCACUGAAAUAGAGAAGAUGAGGAAGUAUGUCAUAGUGCCCAACAAUGCAGCAAAAAGGGAGAAAUGGAGCAGGGUUGAGUAUGAGGUGAACAUAAGUGAAGACAAAGAAGAAUUUACGUGUGAAUGUGGACAGUUCAAGCACACUGGGAUGUUAUGCUGCCAUGUUCUAAGGGUGAUGGAAAUACUUCAUGCUGAGGAAAUCCCGGCUAAUCAUAUAUUGAAGCGGUGGACAAACGACGUGAGGGACAUACUACCCCAACAUCUGGUUCAGUACCAGAGAGAUGAUCCAGUUAACCUGUCAUUCACGUGUAGGCACUCCACCUUGUACUUGAAAGCCAUGGAUGUAGUACGUUUGGGUGAUGCAAGUGCAGAGGCUUUCGAUCACAUUUAUGUUGGUCUGGAUGCUUUAAUGGUGAGUGGAACACCUUUGGCCGAGA